RNAcentral lists this ribosomal RNA (414 nucleotides) under uncultured microorganism. RNAcentral's name for it is "bacterial SSU rRNA". It matches the Rfam family "Archaeal small subunit ribosomal RNA", at positions 459 to 872 of the family's 1478-position model. The record is from RNAcentral.
CAGCCGCCGCGGUAAUACCGGCGGCCCGAGUGGCGGUCACUAUUAUUGGGCUUAAAACGUCCGUAGCCGGGUUGGGAAGUCCUCCGGGAAAUCUGGCCGCUUAACGGUCAGAAUGCCGGGGGAUACUCCCAGCCUAGGGAGCGGGAGAGGCCGAGGGGAUUCCCGGGGUAGGGGUGAAAUCCUAUAAUCCCGGGAGGACCACCUGUGGCGAAGGCGCUCGGCUGGAACGCGUCCGACGGGGAGGGACGAAGGCCAGGGGAGCAAACCGGAUUAGAUACCCGGGUAGUCCUGGCUGUAAACGAUGCGGACUUUGUGUCGGACAAGCUAUGAGCUUGUCCGGUGCCGGAGGGAAACCGUUAAGUCCGCCGCCUGGGGAGUACGGCCGCAAGGUUGAAACUUAAAGGAAUUGGCGGG